CCACAUCCUCUUCAGGCCCUUUGGGUGCCGCCGGUUUCUAGGAGGAAGGAGAGGAGGGCCAUGGGGGAGAGGGAGGAAGAGGAAGCUAGGGGAAGAAGGAAGAAGGGGAGAGGGAAGAAGAGAAGGAAAUGGGGAGAAGGAAGAGGAGGAGCUGCCCGUGGGAGAAGAAGGAGCCACCCGAGGGGCUCGCCGCCGGAGCGCCGCCCAAGCUUGUCGUCCGCCACCGGAGCUCGCCCUCACCGUCGUCUUCAUCGAGCCAUCCCUGUGAGCCACCCCGUCGCCCCUUUUCUUUCUUGUAGUAGCUAGCCUAGGCCAUAGCAUGGUUAGGACGUUG
This 334-nucleotide long non-coding RNA is filed under the name Setaria viridis. RNAcentral's name for it is "long non-coding RNA (SVIR_LNC008049)". The record is from RNAcentral. Lineage: Eukaryota; Viridiplantae; Streptophyta; Magnoliopsida; Poales; Poaceae.